GCAACAUCCAGAUUCAACCUGUUGGAGUGAGUUUUGCUAGUUACCCUCUGGAUCACUUUGAUUCACUGGCCUCACGACAGAACAGCCUGCUAAGAUUGACUGAAUGAACAGACCAAGGAGCUCAAAUUUCUUGUUCUCAUUGCAAUUAGAGAAAAGUAAAAUAAUUGUUAUUUUGUAACAGUACGAAAAGGUGUCAGUUUCUUUACUUAGUUUCCUGAGUUGUGUUCAUGUACAUAUGUUUACAUAUAUAUAUAUAUAUAUGUGAAAUACUAUUAUAAAGUUGGGAAAAUAUCUUGUUUCUACCGUACCUAAUACCUAGUGCUGAAUUUCUUUAGUACCUCUGGAAGUGAAUGUUUUUUCUCCUCCAUCUUCCUUGGUGCAGUGCUGCUUUUUGCGAUGGCUGAUGCAUUUUCUUUUUCAUUUGUAACGUAUUCUUUCUGG
Molecule: long non-coding RNA, 441 nt
Filed under: Carica papaya (papaya)
Lineage: Eukaryota; Viridiplantae; Streptophyta; Magnoliopsida; Brassicales; Caricaceae
Description: long non-coding RNA (CPAP_LNC006426)
Source: RNAcentral